GGGGAAUAUUGCGCAAUGGGGGAAACCCUGACGCAGCAACGCCGCGUGUGUGAAGAAGGCCUUCGGGUCGUAAAGCACUGUUGGGAGGAACGAGCCGCUCAUGUGACCCAUGAGCCCGACGGUACCUCCUGAGGAGGCACCGGCUAACUCCGUGCCAGCAGCCGCGGUAAUACGGAGGGUGCAAGCGUUGUUCGGAAUUAUUGGGCGUAAAGCGCGCGCAGGCGGCUUUUUAAGUCUGAUGUGAAAGCCCUCGGCUCAACCGAGGACGUGCAUUGGAUACUGGAAGGCUUGAGUCUCGGAGAGGAAAGCGGAAUUCCCAGUGUAGAGGUGAAAUUCGUAGAUAUUGGGAGGAACACCGGUGGCGAAGGCGGCUUUCUGGACGAUGACUGACGCUGAGGCGCGAAAGCGUGGGUAGCAAAC
RNAcentral lists this ribosomal RNA (420 nucleotides) under uncultured bacterium. RNAcentral's name for it is "bacterial SSU rRNA". It matches the Rfam family "Bacterial small subunit ribosomal RNA", at positions 356 to 773 of the family's 1533-position model. The record is from RNAcentral.